RNAcentral lists this ribosomal RNA (456 nucleotides) under Alicycliphilus sp. R-24606. Its description in RNAcentral is "bacterial SSU rRNA". It matches the Rfam family "Bacterial small subunit ribosomal RNA", at positions 8 to 465 of the family's 1533-position model. The record is from RNAcentral. Lineage: Bacteria; Pseudomonadati; Pseudomonadota; Betaproteobacteria; Burkholderiales; Comamonadaceae.
AGAGUUUGAUCCCUGGCUCAGAUUGAACGCUGGCGGCAUGCCUUACACAUGCAAGUCGAACGGUAACAGGUCUUCGGAUGCUGACGAGUGGCGAACGGGUGAGUAAUACAUCGGAACGUGCCCGAUCGUGGGGGAUAACGGAGCGAAAGCUUUGCUAAUACCGCAUACGAUCUACGGAUGAAAGCGGGGGAUCUUCGGACCUCGCGCGGACGGAGCGGCCGAUGGCAGAUUAGGUAGUUGGUGGGAUAAAAGCUUACCAAGCCGACGAUCUGUAGCUGGUCUGAGAGGAUGAUCAGCCACACUGGGACUGAGACACGGCCCAGACUCCUACGGGAGGCAGCAGUGGGGAAUUUUGGACAAUGGGCGCAAGCCUGAUCCAGCCAUGCCGCGUGCAGGAUGAAGGCCUUCGGGUUGUAAACUGCUUUUGUACGGAACGAAAAGGUGCCUUCUAAUAAA